UACAGAGGGUGCGAGCGUUAAUCGGAAUUACUGGGCGUAAAGCGUGCGUAGACGGUUAUUUAAGUCGGGUGUGAAAUCCCCGGGCUCAACCUGGGAACUGCAUCUGUGACUGCAUCGCUGGAGUGCGGCAGAGGGGGAUGGAAUUCCGCGUGUAGCAGUGAAAUGCGUAGAUAUGCGGAGGAACACCGAUGGCGAAGGCAAUCCCCUGGGCCUGCACUGACGCUCAUGCACGAAAGCGUGGGGAGCAAACAGG
This 253-nucleotide ribosomal RNA is filed under the name uncultured bacterium. RNAcentral describes it as "partial 16S ribosomal RNA". It matches the Rfam family "Bacterial small subunit ribosomal RNA", at positions 524 to 776 of the family's 1533-position model. The record is from RNAcentral.